Long non-coding RNA from Camelus dromedarius (Arabian camel), 794 nucleotides. RefSeq lists it as uncharacterized. The record is from RefSeq and is a predicted model, not a curated record. The transcript is spliced from 4 exons. Lineage: Eukaryota; Metazoa; Chordata; Mammalia; Artiodactyla; Camelidae.
GGAAGUCCGCGGGACAGCAAGCUGGAGGCGCGCCGGCGUGAUUCCGACCGCGGGAGCUGGGAGGAGGAGCCGGAGGUGGCUGCGGGGGGCUCCGGCCCAGGCGAAGGAAGGGCAAGAGGCGGUUCGGGCCCGGAGUGGCGCCGGGAGCUACGAAUCACCAAGCUGACCCCCUCUCAUCCCUUCGCCUGGAGAAGAGGGUGUCUCAGGCCCCAGGGAUAAGAGAGAAGGGACCGAAGGGAGCCACAAGUCGGCACCCAGGCGGGGAUGAGGCGGGCAGGAGCCGCUCCGCAGGCGCAGGGCGUAGGGGCGGAGACGGUGGGCAGGGGACUGCAGAAUCGUCCCCGGAGCGGGAUGCGAACCGGCAGAGUUGGGAGAAGAGCCUCCGCGCCGGGGAGCUGAGCAUGCUGCCCCCGCGUGCAGAGCCCGCGUGCACCCAGCCCGGAGAGGGGGCGACAGGGCGGAGGCGGUGGCCCCCGGAAGGUGUCUGGGACCGGACCCGCUGCACGUGAGCCCAGCGCGGGGUCAUGUGCACCGGUUCAGCCCGGUUCGGCGCCCGGACGUGCUGCGUAUCAACAAAAUGAAACUCGGGAAGACAGGAGGGCAAAUAGCUCCGGGUCCUCCAAAACCCCGUCUCCGGCCGCGCGACCUCCCCUCCGCACAGGUCUCCCGCUGCAGCCCCUCCACCCUGCCAGCCCGCGGGGCAAGUUGCAGCCCCGGCGCGCCCCCGCCCGCCCGCGCCCCCUCCCCGGCCCGGGGGCGCUUUGCCGCAGUCAUUAAUAAAGAAGGUCGCCAAG